CGGGACACGUGGUAUCCUGUCUGAAUAUGGGGGGACCAUCCUCCAAGGCUAAAUACUCCUGACUGACCGAUAGUGAACCAGUACCGUGAGGGAAAGGCGAAAAGAACCCCGGCGAGGGGAGUGAAAAAGAACCUGAAACCGUGUACGUACAAGCAGUGGGAGCACAGAGCAAUCUGUGUGACUGCGUACCUUUUGUAUAAUGGGUCAGCGACUUAUAUUCUGUAGCAAGGUUAACCGAAUAGGGGAGCCGAAGGGAAACCGAGUCUUAACUGGGCGUUAAGUUGCAGGGUAUAGACCCGAAACCCGGUGAUCUAGCCAUGGGCAGGUUGAAGGUUGGGUAACACUAACUGGAGGACCGAACCGACUAAUGUUGAAAAAUUAGCGGAUGACUUGUGGCUGGGGGUGAAAGGCCAAUCAAACCGGGAGAUAGCUGGUUCUCCCCGAAAGCUAUUUAGGUAGCGCCUCGUGAAUUCAUCUCCGGGGGUAGAGCACUGUUUCGGCAAGGGGGUCAUCCCGACUUACCAACCCGAUGCAAACUGCGAAUACCGGAGAAUGUUAUCACGGGAGACACACGGCGGGUGCUAACGUCCGUCGUGAAGAGGGAAACAACCCAGACCGCCAGCUAAGGUCCCAAAGUCAUGGUUAAGUGGGAAACGAUGUGGGAAGGCCCAGACAGCCAGGAUGUUGGCUUAGAAGCAGCCAUCAUUUAAAGAAAGCGUAAUAGCUCACUGGUCGAGUCGGCCUGCGCGGAAGAUGUAACGGGGCUAAACCAUGCACCGAAGCUGCGGCAGCGACGCUUAUGCGUUGUUGGGUAGGGGAGCGUUCUGUA
Molecule: ribosomal RNA, 829 nt
Filed under: Escherichia coli
Lineage: Bacteria; Pseudomonadati; Pseudomonadota; Gammaproteobacteria; Enterobacterales; Enterobacteriaceae
Description: partial 23S ribosomal RNA
Rfam family: Bacterial large subunit ribosomal RNA
Source: RNAcentral